AUCAACACCUUUUCUAGAGAAUUAAGUAUGCAUUAGGUACAUCCUAUCUCAUACAUUGUAUGUAUUAUCAAGCACAUUAUCCUCAAACAUACAAUAUGUAGCACAUAUUGUGUCUCACACAUACAAUUUGUAUGUGUCCGAUUGACAGACGCAUUGUAUUUACAUGUACAAGUACAAUGUGUUUGUCAUGUACAAUGUGUCAUUUGACACACUGUACUUAAAGUGUGUCUAACACAUACUUUAAUGUGUCUGAUAUUACAUGUACAAGUACAAUGUGUUUGUCAUGUACAAUGUGUCAUCAGACACACUUUACUUAAAGUGUGUCUAACACAUACUUUAAUGUGUCUGACAUGUAUCAUAGGCAUUGUACUUAUUUUUAGCCAAAAUGUGUAUGAUACACCCGGAAGAAAAAAG
Molecule: long non-coding RNA, 414 nt
Filed under: Lactuca sativa (garden lettuce)
Lineage: Eukaryota; Viridiplantae; Streptophyta; Magnoliopsida; Asterales; Asteraceae
Description: long non-coding RNA (LSAT_LNC006810)
Source: RNAcentral